AGGGCACCACCAGGAGUGGAGCCUGCGGCUUAAUUUGACUCAACACGGGAAACCUCACCAGGCCCAGACACCGGAAGGAUUGACAGAUUGAUAGCUCUUUCUUGAUUCGGUGGGUGGUGGUGCAUGGCCGUUCUUAGUUGGUGGGGCGAUUUGUCUGGUUAAUUCCGAUAACGAACGAGACUCUAGCCUGCUAAAUAGGCGUACCUUAUGGUAUCUCGAAGGCCCCCGGCCUCGGUCGGCGGGUUUUUACUACCAACGUACAAACAAAUCUUCUUAGAGGGACAGGCGGCUUCUAGCCGCACGAGAUUGAACAAUAACAGGUCUGUGAUGCCCUUAGAUGUUCUGGGCCGCACGCGCGCUACACUGAAGGAAUCAGCGUGUGUUCCCUGGCCGAAAGGCCCGGGUAACCCGCUGAACCUCCUUCCCGCUAAGGAUUGGGGCUUGCAAUUGUUCCCCAUGAACGAGGAAUUCCCAGUAAGCGCGAGUCAUAAGCUCGCGUUGAUUACGUCCCUGCCCUUU
RNAcentral lists this ribosomal RNA (519 nucleotides) under uncultured eukaryote. RNAcentral describes it as "SSU rRNA". It matches the Rfam family "Eukaryotic small subunit ribosomal RNA", at positions 1161 to 1661 of the family's 1831-position model. The record is from RNAcentral.